AACCAGGACCAAGAGUUGCUACAAUACAUUAUCUAAAGUGUCCAGUUUCCAAGAAAAAUUUAUGAGACAAGCAAAGAAGCAGGAAAGCCCGACUCUUAGACUGGAAAAUGGAGUCAGCAGGAACUGCCCUGUGCCAGUGGCCGUAUGUCGGAUAUAACAAAGCCUAAAAGCAGCCCUGAGGAGGACACUGUCAAAUUCAAAUACAGAGGCAGACACAGCAGAAUUAGUGCUGGAAAGCAUCUGCUCCACCGGGAAUGAUGAAGGCCCCUGGUGGCCUCGGUGGGGACAGUUUCAGUGGUGCAGUAGGAGAAGAAACCAGACGAAGAGAGAAAUGGAGACAGCACAGACUUCCCCUACCAAGAACUCGGAUGAAAAGAAAAGAGAGUAGCUAAGAAAGUGCCUGCUGUGGCCCAGGUUCCUCACCAGGGUCACCCAUGGUGGACAGGUUUCAGCAGAGCUUCCCACCUCUGGAAAAGUUGGUCAUGAAAACCCUAUGAACAGCACCAGAGCAUCGUCUGACAGAGUGCUGGAAGGUGAGAGGAUGGCGCAAAAAGACCGAAAAGGGUCCAGCCCUGGUGUCCACAGGGUUGCUAGGAGUCUGAAUCGACUGACAGCUCCAAAAACAAGAGUGCCAGCUCAACAGAGGUUUGCGUUUGUGUGACUUUGUUUUGCUGUGCUUUUUAGGAUGAGAUAUUUGGGGGCAUAUUCAUAAACUGGGAUAAGGACCCAGGUGGGGGGGGGGGGGGGGAAUGGCAGCCAAAGCAAGGCCGGAAGAGGUGGGAGGACACAGGAGAGAGGCUGGCUUUCACUGGAGGAGGAGAGCCUGGAGGAGGAGAGCCUGGAGGAAUGCAGGCGAAGAUGUGUGGGCAGGAAUAUGUUAGGAGACAAUUCUGGGUGGGUCUGUCGCAUUUCUGCACAGGAGCAGAGGCACUAACUGCCCUUUUGUUCCAG
RNAcentral lists this long non-coding RNA (951 nucleotides) under Equus caballus (horse). RNAcentral describes it as "lncRNA (ENSECAG00000051545.1)". Lineage: Eukaryota; Metazoa; Chordata; Mammalia; Perissodactyla; Equidae. The record is from RNAcentral.